RNAcentral lists this ribosomal RNA (118 nucleotides) under Pogona vitticeps (central bearded dragon). Lineage: Eukaryota; Metazoa; Chordata; Lepidosauria; Squamata; Agamidae. The record is from RNAcentral.
GAAUGCUAAUAUGCCACCUUGGAAACAUCCAGCACAGUGUGGCUGCAGAAGCUAAGCAAGGUCAAGUCUGGUUAGCAUUGGAUGGGAGACCACCAAGGAAUACAAGGAAUAUCAUAGU